Molecule: non-coding RNA, 1177 nt
Organism: Malus domestica (apple)
Lineage: Eukaryota; Viridiplantae; Streptophyta; Magnoliopsida; Rosales; Rosaceae
Source: RefSeq, a predicted model, not a curated record
AGUUGUGAGGAAGGAGAAUGUUGGACGGAAUAGAAGAAUGGAGAAUGAGAGUUUCAGGAGGGGGUGGUGGCGAAUCGGAUGAGGAGAAAGGAAGAGGUUGCCCAAUGGAGAUAGAAGGAAAUGAAGGGAAAGGAGAGAGAUGAGUGGCACCCAACCAAGACCUUCAUCCCCUUCACCCCUGUACCUACGUACUCGAUCGGGGGUGCCAUUGGGUUCGAAGCAGUUUCCGGCGAUCCUCACCUAUUUUUCGAAGAUUUUCACCCAUUCACCACCACCAAACCUCAUCAUUAUAUCCCAACAUCCAAUUCUAGACAAAAUUGACACGAAAUGGUGGAGAUUUCACGAAGAAUACCAUGUGGGUGCCGCGGAAGACUUGCCCAAAAUCUACCAAUUCUGAAAUGUUUUCCUUCAAUAACCACCACCAAAACACUCCUCAAGAGGUCAGGAACAAUGCCCAAUCAAUGGUUGGAGCGUCGGAGUUGAUUUGAGGACGAAUCAAAAACACCAAAAUUCUAGAGUUCAUGGUGAUUUGAGGCUUUUCUCGGCCAAAUUGGACUUGGCCACAGGCGACGAUCAUUCGUGACGCCUUGAUAUUGGUGUUAGGGAGUUGUAGCGCAGACUCCAGUCGAUUACCCGGUGCUGAUUGUCCACUGGAUCGGAUUUGGUAGUUGACCCGGUUGUGAUGAUUACGAUGAUUCAAUUAGCUUACAUGGAGAAGGCGGAUUCCGAUUUGGCUUCACGGAGAGUCAUGACUUGUAGAGAAUAGCUUAUAUGAUCGUUCACCUAAGGCCUCAUGUCGAAGAGUGCUGGGCUUAUUUGCAAACUGGUUCAUCACGUACUUGUUAUGUGGAAGAAUGCUGACCUGAUCUUAGAGCUCGUUCAUAACACUCUCUUUGCGUGGAAGAGUGCUGGCUUAGUCAGAAGGCGAUCCCUUUUGGUGAAUUGGAAGAAAACAGUUCCGAGGUAUCCUUCGUGAGAUUUCUUCUAUCAGGGUGGUUGUAUUUGACUUCUUAAUAGUUUUAAUCAAGUCUCAGUACUCUUCAUGUUUGUGUUGGCGGUUUCUUUAAUUUGUGAUCGUUUCAGUUUCAACGAGAUUUUACUUUCGUGUCAUGUCUGAGAGGUGGUCUGUGAAUUGGUUUACUUUUGUCCAUGUACAUCUUACAAUGCUGUUUAUACU